RNAcentral lists this long non-coding RNA (963 nucleotides) under Hordeum vulgare. RNAcentral describes it as "long non-coding RNA (HVUL_LNC003925)". Lineage: Eukaryota; Viridiplantae; Streptophyta; Magnoliopsida; Poales; Poaceae. The record is from RNAcentral.
UCUGAACCUUGAGAAAGCUCGGCAGGAAGCAUAUGCAUCAGGACUUCUUGGUAAGAACGCUUGCGGGUCAGGCUAUGAUUUCGAUGUGCAUAUACAUUUUGGUGCUGGUGCGUACAUUUGUGGUGAAGAGACUGCCCUACUGGAGAGCCUUGAAGGCAAGCAGGGUAAACCAAGGCUGAAACCACCUUUCCCUGCCAAUGCUGGGCUGUAUGGCUGCCCCACAACUGUCACAAAUGUUGAAACUGUUGCUGUGUCUCCAACAAUUCUUAGGCGUGGCCCAGAAUGGUUUGCGAGUUUUGGACGCAAGAAUAACUCGGGAACAAAACUGUACUGUAUCUCAGGUCAUGUGAACAAACCUUGUACUGUUGAGGAGGAAAUGAGUAUACCUCUGAAGGAAUUAAUCGAGAAGCACUGCGGAGGUGUGAGAGGAGGAUGGGACAACCUGCUUGCAGUUAUCCCUGGCGGUUCGUCUGUUCCUCUUUUGCCAAAGCACAUAUGUGAUGACGUGUUGAUGGACUAUGAUGCACUAAAGGCUGUACAGUCCGGAUUAGGCACUGCAGCAGUUAUGGUGAUGGACAAAUCCACAGAUGUAGUUGAUGCGAUUGCUAGACUGUCAUACUUCUACAAGCAUGAGAGCUGUGGGCAGUGCACGCCUUGCCGUGAGGGUACAGGAUGGCUCUGGAUGAUCAUGGAGAGGCUCAAAGUGGGUAAUGCGAAGCUGGAAGAGAUUGAUAUGCUUCAGGAGGUCACGAAGCAGAUUGAAGGCCACACGAUCUGUGCCCUCGGGGAUGCUGCAGCAUGGCCUGUGCAGGGUCUUAUCAGGCACUUCAGACCUGAGUUGGAGAGGAGGAUCCGCGAUCGUGCUGAUAGGGAGCUGCUGAUGGCAGCUUCUGCAUAAGCACCACUUCUUGUUUGCUGAUUUUAUUCACAGAAAUAAUGCAAACUGGUGAAGCUCAUUUCUGC